RNAcentral lists this ribosomal RNA (800 nucleotides) under uncultured bacterium. RNAcentral describes it as "bacterial SSU rRNA". It matches the Rfam family "Bacterial small subunit ribosomal RNA", at positions 8 to 821 of the family's 1533-position model. The record is from RNAcentral.
AGAGUUUGAUCCUGGCUCAGAACGAACGUUGGCGGCGUGGAUUAGGCAUGCAAGUCGAACGAAUCCCGGUAGCAAUACUGGGGGAAGUGGCGAAAGGGGCAGUAAGGCGUGGAUAACCUACCCUGGGGAUGGGCAUAGCUGUUCUAACGAGCAGGUAACACCCAGCGAUCUGAAGAGGCGGCAUCGCUUGUUCAGGAAAUAAAUUUUGCCUCGGGAGGGGUUCACGUAGUAUCAGCUUGUUGGCGGGGUAACGGCCCACCAAGGCGAAGACGCUUAGCGGGUGUGAGAGCACGACCCGCGCCACUGGCACUGAGACACUGGCCAGACACCUACGGGUGGCUGCAGUCGAGGAUCUUCGGCAAUGGGCGCAAGCCUGACCGAGCGACGCCGCGUGAAGGAUGAAGGCCUUCGGGUUGUAAACUUCUGUCGAGGGGGAUAAAGCCGCAAGGUUGAUAGAUCCCUGAGGAAGCACGGGCUAAGUUCGUGCCAGCAGCCGCGGUAAGACGAACCGUGCGAACGUUGUUCGGAAUCACUGGGCUUAAAGGGCGCGUAGGCGGCUUGGCAAGUCAGUGGUGAAAUCCUCCGGCUUAACCGGAGAAGUGCCAUUGAUACUGCUGAGCUUGAGGGAGGUAGGGGCAGCUGGAACUUCUGGUGGAGCGGUGAAAUGCGUUGAUAUCAGAAGGAACGCCGGUGGCGAAAGCGAGCUGCUGGAUCUCUACUGACGCUGAGGCGCGAAAGCUAGGGGAGCAAACGGGAUUAGAUACCCCGGUAGUCCUAGCCCUAAACGAUGGGUACUAGAU